CGAGGGGGGGCUCGGGUUUUCACCCAAACCCCCUUUUAAAAAGUGUGGAAUGACCACAUUAAUGCAACCAAUACAACUUUCAACAACGGAUCUCUUGGCUCUGGAAUCGAUGAAGAAGGAAGCGAAUUCCGAUACUUAAUGUGAAUGGCGGAAUUCAGUGAUUCAUGGAUUCUUUGAACGCCCCUUGCGCCCCUUGGUAUUCCGAGGGGCACACCCGUUUGAGUUUCGUGAAACCAUCAACCUCUUUGGUUUCUUCUGGGGACCAAAGCAGGCUUGGACUUUGGAGGCCUUUUGCUGGCACCUCUCUCUUUUGAAGGCCAGCUCCUCUUAAAUGAAUUAGCAGGGUCCUCUUUGCCGAUCCUCGACGUGUGAUAAGAUGUUUUUCCAUGUCUUGGUUUCUGGCUCUGUCACCUUUGGGACCCGCUUCUAACCGUCUGACCUAGCGUC
RNAcentral lists this ribosomal RNA (447 nucleotides) under uncultured Lactarius. RNAcentral describes it as "eukaryotic LSU rRNA". The stretch from base 75 to 228 matches the Rfam family "5.8S ribosomal RNA". Lineage: Eukaryota; Fungi; Basidiomycota; Agaricomycetes; Russulales; Russulaceae. The record is from RNAcentral.